CUAGGUCUCAUCCAUAGGACAAGAUAUGACAAAGCUAAAAUGUACACACACACACAAAAUACACACACAGAGAGAGAAAUGUUGAGGAAGUUACUUCUGUCAUGAACUUUUCUGGUUGGUGGAGAUGAGUGUAGCUGCUCUUAACUCAGUUAUAGGACCAUUAACACAAUGCAGUAAAUUGGAGAGCUCUCUCAUCAAAAUUUCAUUACCUUUUGCUUUUUGUAAUGAAAGAAUCUCUCUGGACCAGAUUCUUUGUGUCAAAUAAUUUUCUAGCCUUUAUUUUACUACAAAUAAACAUGUUACUUUAAUGUCUGGUUAUAUCACCUGUAUUCAUGGCUCAUUACAAACUAACUUUUAAAAAGUUAUUCACAUUUCCUUUCCUCUGUGAGGCUUUGGUUAAUUCACAUUCUUCAUGAGGGACAUCAAUCUCCUUGUUACCAAUUUCUUUAAAUUAAACAUAUUAUUACAGCCAAUCCAAAUCAGUUUUUGCUUUAGGGUCAAAUAGCACAAGGGAACAUCUCUCUGGUGGACCUACAGUAAAGUUUAAAAUCCACCUUUAAAAAGUCUUCAGAAAAGUUUUUCCUUCCACUCCAACUCCUCUUUUACAAGUACAAUCUGGAUGAGUUUAUAAUCAAGAAUGUAAUUGACUUCAGGUGACAUAUUCCACCAAUCCUAAUAUAAUAUUUUAACAAUCCAGUUUCUCUUUUCAAUGAGCAUCAGAUAAAAUGAAGAUUGCAAGCAGUAUGACACUAAUUGGCCCUGGACAUUUUUUUGCACAUUUAAGAAAAAAAUCAAUAAGCAAAUACUUCAAAGUUAAUUGUCAUGGAGGAUAGGGAGAAGGAAUGAGAAUCUAGUAUUGGCUUUAGGCCAAUUUGGCUACCUACUGGACCCCACUCCAAAACCAAUUCUAACAUAUUUAUGUACUGCAAUUACAUAGAAAAUUACAUGGACUAGCCCACUGGAAAAUUUGCACACUUUUCCGACUCUCAUCAAAUUUUGUAUCAAUCAUAUUCAUAAGAUAUGAGGGUUAUUGACUUCUGUAACUAAGGGCAAUUAAAAAAGGGAAAUCUGAAUUUUUUGGUUAAUACACAUUGAUUCACACUAUAAUUUACUUUAUACUUUACAAACUUUAUUAAAUAAUGGGCAUUGCUAAGGUUCGUUAUCUUAUAUACACUAUUUUAAAUUGUUUUACUAGAGGCAAUUUCCACAGGUAGUAUUCUAUUAAGUGAAAAUUGAUUUUUUAAAAACUGAGUCUCCAGUACAGGGAUUUAAUAAGACAGAAGACACAUUUCAAAAAUGCACAAAACUUUUGGUUUCCUGGGACCUUACACAAUAAUACAACAUGUCCCUGGCUAUUUAAAAACUAAGUUAAAGCAUAGAACUGAUGAUCUGCAGCAUCAAGUUCACAAAAAGGGGUAUAUACACAGUCCUCAAAAUCUGCACCCUAAUAAAAAGAAUUCAUUUGAAGACAUAAAAUACAGCUUUGUCUAAACAUGUAAUUACAAUGAUAUAUACAAAUGCACUUUAUACAAUAAAGGGAGCUAUUUUAAAGCUCUCAUUUGCAGGGUGUAUGCGAAGUGUCUUAUAUAUUUUCAAUAGUAGACAUCAAAACCAUGCAAUUAGCAAAGCAGCAUCAAUUUGAAGAAUCGUUUUUAUAAAAUGAAAAAUGAUCAGCUCAUUCUUCUCAAGAAUUCAAUUCACGCCAAUCACAAAAAAAAAUGGAGUCAACUUCAUUCCAGGCAUAUUAAUAUUCAAGUAGCUUUCUGUUUCCCAAGGACACUGAAUGAUCUUGCUAUUUUUU
Sarcophilus harrisii (Tasmanian devil) is the source of this 1801-nucleotide long non-coding RNA. The record is from Ensembl. NCBI's taxonomy places the organism in Eukaryota, Metazoa, Chordata, Mammalia, Dasyuromorphia, Dasyuridae.